RNAcentral lists this transfer RNA (71 nucleotides) under Planctomycetota bacterium. RNAcentral describes it as "Planctomycetes bacterium tRNA-Gln". It matches the Rfam family "tRNA". Rfam says of the family: Transfer RNA (tRNA) molecules are approximately 80 nucleotides in length. Lineage: Bacteria; Pseudomonadati; Planctomycetota. The record is from RNAcentral.
UACCCGGUAGUGUAACGGUAGCACAACAGGUUUUGGUCCUGUUAGUCGAGGUUCAAAUCCUCGCCGGGUAA